AUGAAAUCACUGAAACUGUUUGUUUAUUUCUGUGAUAUCUGGUCAGAAAGAAACAAUUUGGGGCAGGGCAGAUAGUACUUGUGUAAUAUUUUGAAUCAUAAACUCUGCAAACACACACAACAAUAACUAGUCCUCUACUGUAUAGUAUACACUCUCUACUCACUAGUGGCUCUCAACUCUAUUGAGCCGAAGUUCACAGACCAGUCAUUUCCCUGGUCAGUUAGCAGUAUGGGACUGAAAAUUUCCAGUGCAGUUCAUCUCAUCCGAGUCGCCGGGCGCCUCCUCCUGCUCCGCCGCUCGUCGCCGGCACUGUAGGAAUGGCCAGUGGCGUUGUCAGGAUUGAAGCAAACCCCGGGCCAAAUUUAUUUUCUGUCAACAUUGAAAAACUUUGGCACUUAUGACACCCCAGAAAUGCCCCAUGGGAAAUAAAGCCCAGUUGCUCAAUAAAUCUAGAAUUUAAUCUCAAUGCUUAACAAUCUAACAAAAGAGAUAAAACAUGACAAAGCUACAAAUCAUCUAUGGUGACAAUCAGACAAUGCAUACACCAAUUUCUAUUUCUGCAAAAUGAAUCAAUUCGAGUUCCAGUCCAACAUUUAAAUCAUCUAUUCACUGUGACAAUCAGAGAAUUCAUACACCAAUUCAACAAGACCAAAUUACCAGCGAGACUAAGGGCGCGGCGGCGGCAGUAGCCAGCGGCAGGUCACACAGAGCCGGCGGCGGCAGAAUCACGGGC
This 733-nucleotide long non-coding RNA is filed under the name Triticum aestivum (bread wheat). Its description in RNAcentral is "long non-coding RNA (TAES_LNC006212)". Lineage: Eukaryota; Viridiplantae; Streptophyta; Magnoliopsida; Poales; Poaceae. The record is from RNAcentral.